AGAUGCUGAGGAGUUCCACAAUAGGACGAAACGGCCGUCCAGUGC
This is a non-coding RNA of Schistosoma curassoni, 45 nucleotides long. The record is from Rfam. Lineage: Eukaryota; Metazoa; Platyhelminthes; Trematoda; Strigeidida; Schistosomatidae.